AUUGAACGCUGGCGGCAGGCUUAACACACGCAAGUCGAGCGGGGACUUCGGUCCUAGCGGCGAACGGGUGAGGAAUGCUUGGGAAAUCUGCCCAGUAGCGGGGGAUAACGUUUCGAAAGGAACGCUAAUACCGCAUACGCCCUACGGGGGAAAGGGGGGGAUCUUCGGACCUCUCACUACUGGAUGAGCCCAAGUCGGAUUAGCUAGUUGGUCGGGUAAAGGCCUACCAAGGCGACGAUCCGUAGCUGGUCUGAGAGGACGAUCAGCCACACUGGAACUGAGACACGGUCCAGACUCCUACGGGAGGCAGCAGUGGGGAAUAUUGGACAAUGGGCGAAAGCCUGAUCCAGCCAUGCCGCGUGUGUGAAGAAGGCCUUCGGGUUGUAAAGCACUUUAAGCGAGGAGGAAUGGCUCUUAGUUAAUAACCUUGAGCAGUGACGUUACUCGCAGAAUAAGCACCGGCUAACUCUGUGCCAGCCGCCGCAGUAA
This 489-nucleotide ribosomal RNA is filed under the name uncultured bacterium. Its description in RNAcentral is "partial 16S ribosomal RNA". It matches the Rfam family "Bacterial small subunit ribosomal RNA", at positions 30 to 523 of the family's 1533-position model. The record is from RNAcentral.